This 308-nucleotide ribosomal RNA is filed under the name uncultured bacterium. RNAcentral's name for it is "bacterial SSU rRNA". It matches the Rfam family "Bacterial small subunit ribosomal RNA", at positions 28 to 334 of the family's 1533-position model. The record is from RNAcentral.
GAUGAACGCUAGCGGCAGGCUUAACACAUGCAAGUCGAACGGUAACAUUGGUGCUUGCAUCAGAUGACGAGUGGCGAACGGGUGCGUAACGCGUAUGCAACUUACCUCUAACAAAGGAAUAGCUCAGAGAAAUUUGAAUUAAUACCUUAUAAUAACUUAGAUUCGCAUGUUUUUAAGUUUAAAGUAUUUCGGUUAGAGAUGGGCAUGCGUGAUAUUAGCUAGUUGGUAGGGUAAUGGCUUACCAAGGCAACGAUAUCUAGGGGGUCUGAGAGGAUGGUCCCCCACACUGGUACUGAGACACGGACCAG